UGGAAAGAUGAAUCAAAGAAGGUAAUAAUCCUGUAGUCGAAAAUGUUGUCUCUCUUGAGUGGAUCCUGAGUACGACGGAGCACGUGAAAUUCCGUCGGAAUCUGGGAGGACCAUCUCCUAAGGCUAAAUACUCUCUAGUGACCGAUAGUGAACCAGUACCGUGAGGGAAAGGUGAAAAGCACCCCGGAAGGGGAGUGAAAUAGAACCUGAAACCGUGUGCUUACAAGUAGUCAGAGCCCGUUAAUGGGUGAUGGCGUGCCUUUUGUAGAAUGAACCGGCGAGUUACGAUUUGAUGCAAGGUUAAGCAGUAAAUGUGGAGCCGUAGCGAAAGCGAGUCUGAAUAGGGCGUUUAGUAUUUGGUCGUAGACCCGAAACCAGGUGAUCUACCCUUGGUCAGGUUGAAGUUCAGGUAACACUGAAUGGAGGACCGAACCGACUUACGUUGAAAAGUGAGCGGAUGAACUGAGGGUAGCGGAGAAAUUCCAAUCGAACCUGGAGAUAGCUGGUUCUCUCCGAAAUAGCUUUAGGGCUAGCCUCAAGUGAUGAUUAUUGGAGGUAGAGCACUGUUUGGACGAGGGGCCCCUCUCGGGUUACCGAAUUCAGACAAACUCCGAAUGCCAAUUAAUUUAACUUGGGAGUCAGAACAUGGGUGAUAAGGUCCGUGUUCGAAAGGGAAACAGCCCAGACCACCAGCUAAGGUCCCAAAAUAUAUGUUAAGUGGAAAAGGAUGUGGCGUUGCCCAGACAACUAGGAUGUUGGCUUAGAAGCAGCCAUCAUUUAAAGAGUGCGUAAUAGCUCACUAGUCGAGUGACACUGCGCCGAAAAUGUACCGGGGCUAAACAUAUUACCGAAGCUGUGGAUUGUCCUUUGGACAAUGGUAGGAGAGCGUUCUAAGGGCGUUGAAGCAUGAUCGUAAGGACAUGUGGAGCGCUUAGAAGUGAGAAUGCCGGUGUGAGUAGCGAAAGACGGGUGAGAAUCCCGUCCACCGAUUGACUAAGGUUUCCAGAGGAAGGCUCGUCCGCUCUGGGUUAGUCGGGUCCUAAGCUGAGGCCGACAGGCGUAGGCGAUGGAUAACAGGUUGAUAUUCCUGUACCACCUAUAAUCGUUUUAAUCGAUGGGGGGACGCAGUAGGAUAGGCGAAGCGUGCGAUUGGAUUGCACGUCUAAGCAGUAAGGCUGAGUAUUAGGCAAAUCCGGUACUCAUUAAGGCUGAGCUGUGAUGGGGAGAAGACAUUGUGUCUUCGAGUCGUUGAUUUCACACUGCCGAGAAAAGCCUCUAGAUAGAAAAUAGGUGCCCGUACCGCAAACCGACACAGGUAGUCAAGAUGAGAAUUCUAAGGUGAGCGAGCGAACUCUCGUUAAGGAACUCGGCAAAAUGACCCCGUAACUUCGGGAGAAGGGGUGCUCUUUAGGGUUAACGCCCAGAAGAGCCGCAGUGAAUAGGCCCAAGCGACUGUUUAUCAAAAACACAGGUCUCUGCUAAACCGUAAGGUGAUGUAUAGGGGCUGACGCCUGCCCGGUGCUGGAAGGUUAAGAGGAGUGGUUAGCUUCUGCGAAGCUACGAAUCGAAGCCCCAGUAAACGGCGGCCGUAACUAUAACGGUCCUAAGGUAGCGAAAUUCCUUGUCGGGUAAGUUCCGACCCGCACGAAAGGCGUAACGAUUUGGGCACUGUCUCAACGAGAGACUCGGUGAAAUCAUAGUACCUGUGAAGAUGCAGGUUACCCGCGACAGGACGGAAAGACCCCGUGGAGCUUUACUGUAGCCUGAUAUUGAAAUUCGGCACAGCUUGUACAGGAUAGGUAGGAGCCUUUGAAACGUGAGCGCUAGCUUACGUGGAGGCGCUGGUGGGAUACUACCCUAGCUGUGUUGGCUUUCUAACCCGCACCACUUAUCGUGGUGGGAGACAGUGUCAGGCGGGCAGUUUGACUGGGGCGGUCGCCUCCUAAAAGGUAACGGAGGCGCUCAAAGGUUCCCUCAGAAUGGUUGGAAAUCAUUCAUAGAGUGUAAAGGCAUAAGGGAGCUUGACUGCGAGACCUACAAGUCGAGCAGGGUCGAAAGAC
Molecule: ribosomal RNA, 2060 nt
Filed under: Staphylococcus aureus
Lineage: Bacteria; Bacillati; Bacillota; Bacilli; Caryophanales; Staphylococcaceae
Description: partial 23S ribosomal RNA
Rfam family: Bacterial large subunit ribosomal RNA
Source: RNAcentral